Molecule: ribosomal RNA, 1404 nt
Filed under: Escherichia coli
Lineage: Bacteria; Pseudomonadati; Pseudomonadota; Gammaproteobacteria; Enterobacterales; Enterobacteriaceae
Description: bacterial LSU rRNA
Rfam family: Bacterial large subunit ribosomal RNA
Source: RNAcentral
AUGUUGGCCGGGCGACGGUUGUCCCGGUUUAAGCGUGUAGGCUGGUUUUCCAGGCAAAUCCGGAAAAUCAAGGCUGAGGCGUGAUGACGAGGCACAGCGGUGCUGAAGCAACAAAUGCCCUGCUUCCAGGAAAAGCCUCUAAGCAUCAGGUAACAUCAAAUCGUACCCCAAACCGACACAGGUGGUCAGGUAGAGAAUACCAAGGCGCUUGAGAGAACUCGGGUGAAGGAACUAGGCAAAAUGGUGCCGUAACUUCGGGAGAAGGCACGCUGAUAUGUAGGUGAAGUCCCUCGCGGAUGGAGCUGAAAUCAGUCGAAGAUACCAGCUGGCUGCAACUGUUUAUUAAAAACACAGCACUGUGCAAACACGAAAGUGGACGUAUACGGUGUGACGCCUGCCCGGUGCCGGAAGGUUAAUUGAUGGGGUUAGCGCAAGCGAAGCUCUUGAUCGAAGCCCCGGUAAACGGCGGCCGUAACUAUAACGGUCCUAAGGUAGCGAAAUUCCUUGUCGGGUAAGUUCCGACCUGCACGAAUGGCGUAAUGAUGGCCAGGCUGUCUCCACCCGAGACUCAGUGAAAUUGAACUCGCUGUGAAGAUGCAGUGUACCCGCGGCAAGACGGAAAGACCCCGUGAACCUUUACUAUAGCUUGACACUGAACAUUGAGCCUUGAUGUGUAGGAUAGGUGGGAGGCUUUGAAGUGUGGACGCCAGUCUGCAUGGAGCCGACCUUGAAAUACCACCCUUUAAUGUUUGAUGUUCUAACGUUGACCCGUAAUCCGGGUUGCGGACAGUGUCUGGUGGGUAGUUUGACUGGGGCGGUCUCCUCCUAAAGAGUAACGGAGGAGCACGAAGGUUGGCUAAUCCUGGUCGGACAUCAGGAGGUUAGUGCAAUGGCAUAAGCCAGCUUGACUGCGAGCGUGACGGCGCGAGCAGGUGCGAAAGCAGGUCAUAGUGAUCCGGUGGUUCUGAAUGGAAGGGCCAUCGCUCAACGGAUAAAAGGUACUCCGGGGAUAACAGGCUGAUACCGCCCAAGAGUUCAUAUCGACGGCGGUGUUUGGCACCUCGAUGUCGGCUCAUCACAUCCUGGGGCUGAAGUAGGUCCCAAGGGUAUGGCUGUUCGCCAUUUAAAGUGGUACGCGAGCUGGGUUUAGAACGUCGUGAGACAGUUCGGUCCCUAUCUGCCGUGGGCGCUGGAGAACUGAGGGGGGCUGCUCCUAGUACGAGAGGACCGGAGUGGACGCAUCACUGGUGUUCGGGUUGUCAUGCCAAUGGCACUGCCCGGUAGCUAAAUGCGGAAGAGAUAAGUGCUGAAAGCAUCUAAGCACGAAACUUGCCCCGAGAUGAGUUCUCCCUGACUCCUUGAGACUCCUGAAGGAACGUUGAAGACGACGACGUUGAUAGGCCG